This is a long non-coding RNA of Anolis carolinensis (green anole), 1228 nucleotides long. RefSeq lists it as uncharacterized. NCBI's taxonomy places the organism in Eukaryota, Metazoa, Chordata, Lepidosauria, Squamata, Anolidae. The record is from RefSeq and is a predicted model, not a curated record. The transcript is spliced from 2 exons.
UGGCUUUAGGGAACUUUUAUUUUCCAAAGGACGUCUGCGUUCCUGCAAGUGCAGAGCUUGGGGUGCUUUACUUUUCUACUCCAGAGGGAGUCCCUUUGCCUUUCUGUUUUCUUUUUUGGAAUUUAGCAAUCACCACAUCAGCCCUUGUUAUGGUUGAGCCUUCAGGCUCUGGUAAUGGAAGAAGGGGUCGUAAGACUCCUCGAGAGUCAGACACUCUCGAGGAGCGUGAAAGAAAACGUCUCCAAGAUUUGUUUGCAGAGCCGACAGAUGAGGACUCAUUUGAGGGUUUUUCUCAGGGUUUGGAGGAAGAGAUGGUCAGCUCGGAGGAGGAUGACAUGGAAUGGACUCGUGUGAGGGAGGACUUGGGUGUUGGGGAAACAGGCAAUGAAAGCGUGGGAGGUGAUUGGCGGGUUGCAGGAUCAGACCCAUGGACUGGUUGGAGGGAUGGAGCGGGAUCCACAGCUGGGGAUGCUGUGGGGCGUAGUCGUAGGUGCUUAAACUCUGAUGAGGAUGAUGAUGUUGGGGCGUCUGGAAUUGGGAUGGCAGCUGACAGCGAUGAUGAGCUUGAACUGGGAUAAAAUGGGGUUUGGGACCAAUGUCUAAUUGCGUUGGGCAAGGUAAUCUGGACGGACGCUUGGGCUUUUGUUUGGGAACUUCCUGAAGACGGGUGUGAUUCGCUACUGGAUACCUUGAACCUCCGUCGUCUUUUUGACGGGCAAUACCUACUUACACUGGAUUGACGCUGGACUGACUGACUACGAUUCCGGAUUAACCCUGCUGCUGGCUAUCGGUGAGACCUUUGGAUUCCUUGACGACUACGCUUGGCUAUUGAUCUUCUGGACCGGAUUGGGACCCUGCUGACUGCCGUUACCCUAAACCUGAAUCCUGACUACGACCACGCUUUCAUUCGCUGCAGGGAGGAAUAAACAAGCCUGUUUUACUCCCCUGCUGUUUCUGAGUAGCAGAGAGGAAUCUGUUACCAGUCUUUUGUUUACAUUCUGACUCCUGUUGAUCCUCUUUUGUUUGCAUUGUUUGCCAAGCUGAAGUAAGCACUUUGAUUUAAUCCGGAUUACACUGCUGUUUAACCCGGUUUAUCCCUUUGAACCAUUUAAGCUCAAACUGAGCUGUUUUUUGUUAUUUAUCCCACUGAAGUCAAGUGUUUGCCCUGUUCUUUGUUUCCUACGGGCGUUUUUAGUUCUGUAACCUCAAUAAACUGAGUUUUGUUUUA